CCAUUUAGGUCAGGAGUCACUUGAAAAGUUGUUAGGCCAGUAUUUCUACAUCUCGCAUUUGUCAGCCCUUGCCAAAACGGUGACGCAGCUGUGUGUUACCUGCCAACAGCAUAAUGCGAGGCAAGGUCCAGCUGUUCCGCCCAGCAUACAAGCUUAUGGAGCAGUCCCCUUUGAAGAUCUCCAGGUGGACUUCACAGAGAUGCCAAAUUGUGGAGAUCUUAUUCCUAGAUUUGGACUGCCCUUACAGAUCAGCUCAGAUAACAGGCUGGCGGUGUUUGUGGCUGACUUGGUACAGAAGAUGGCAAAGGUAAUCGAGUGUGGAUCAAGGACUGGAAUGUAGCCUCUUUAUGGCCACGGUGGAAAGGACCCCAGACUGUCGUCCUGACCACUCCCACCACUGUUGAAGGUAGAGGGAAUCCUAGCCUGGAUCCACCACAGCCAUG
Molecule: long non-coding RNA, 443 nt
Organism: Rhinopithecus roxellana (golden snub-nosed monkey)
Lineage: Eukaryota; Metazoa; Chordata; Mammalia; Primates; Cercopithecidae
Exons: 3
Source: RefSeq, a predicted model, not a curated record